This 497-nucleotide ribosomal RNA is filed under the name uncultured bacterium. RNAcentral describes it as "partial 16S ribosomal RNA". It matches the Rfam family "Bacterial small subunit ribosomal RNA", at positions 28 to 507 of the family's 1533-position model. The record is from RNAcentral.
GAUGAACGCUGGCGGCGUGCCUAAUACAUGCAAGUCGAGCGAACAGAUGAGGAGCUUGCUCCUCUGACGUUAGCGGCGGACGGGUGAGUAACACGUGGAUAACCUACCUAUAAGACUGGGAUAACUUCGGGAAACCGGAGCUAAUACCGGAUAAUAUAUUGAACCGCAUGGUUCAAUAGUGAAAGACGGUUUUGCUGUCACUUAUAGAUGGAUCCGCGCCGCAUUAGCUAGUUGGUAAGGUAACGGCUUACCAAGGCAACGAUGCGUAGCCGACCUGAGAGGGUGAUAGGCCACACUGGAACUGAGACACGGUCAAGACUACUACGGGAGGCAGCAGUAGGGAAUCUUCCGCAAUGGGCGAAAGCCUGACGGAGCAACGCCGCGUGAGUGAUGAAGGUCUUCGGAUCGUAAAACUCUGUUAUUAGGGAAGAACAAAUGUGUAAGUAACUAUGCACGUCUUGACGGUACCUAAUCAGAAAGCCACGGCUAACUACGUG